Molecule: transfer RNA, 73 nt
Filed under: Stegodyphus mimosarum
Lineage: Eukaryota; Metazoa; Arthropoda; Arachnida; Araneae; Eresidae
Rfam family: tRNA
About the family: Transfer RNA (tRNA) molecules are approximately 80 nucleotides in length. Their secondary structure includes four short double-helical elements and three loops (D, anti-codon, and T loops).
Source: Rfam by way of RNAcentral
GCCUUCGUAGUGUAGUGGUCAGCACGCUCGAUGCGUAACCGAGAGGUCCGUGGUUCGAUUCCCGGCGAAGGCG